Athalia rosae (coleseed sawfly) is the source of this 2311-nucleotide long non-coding RNA. RefSeq lists it as uncharacterized. Lineage: Eukaryota; Metazoa; Arthropoda; Insecta; Hymenoptera; Athaliidae. The transcript has 3 exons. The record is from RefSeq and is a predicted model, not a curated record.
GAUACAUAUCCAUACAUACGUGCAUUCUGAUUUUCCUCAUAGUAGCAAUACUCGAAUGAUGGCAGCACCAAUCAAUGCAAUGUUCUAGAGUUCAGUGACAAUGCUCGAGCUCUUUGGCUCGAAGAUGCUCAAUAUCUCAAAUAUAGGGAUUCUAACAGGGAUGAUCCAGAGGGUGCUGCCUUUGACGACGAAACUCUAAACUACUUUUGCCGCAAAGCGCGCGUAAGAUUCAGGUUUGCGGAUUUUCCCGACUUCAUUUUCAGUUCCUCAGAUGGACCACCCAAAUGGCAACAGUUUCGUAGUUCUAUUCUCCCCAAUUAUUAUAUUUGUUCUUAACGUUCCGCAGUGUCGUUAGAUCAUUUGAACAUCGAUUUGAUGAUUCAAGCGGUAUCCUUCACGAAAGCAUUGCCACAUUGAUCCUUGUUUGCAAAAUUUACAGAACCGUAUGCGAUAUGUAUUGCAGGAACAACAUCACACGGCUCUGACAGAGCGACGAGCGACGACUUCCAAGGUGACGUCGUAAAAUGGACGGUUUAUUGAAACAAGGGUUUCUAUUAUUCAGAAUUCUAAAUCCGAAGAUACCCUUAUUAGAACAUCGCCCGAGCCGCCGGCCCUCGUAAUCUAGCUGCACGUGCGAAACCGAAAAAAUCGUCGACUACGGUCUGAGGGUAGAUCGAGUCUGGGUGAAAUUAGAAUCGACGUACUGUACAUAGGAAACUCAUACAAGAGUGGCUCAUCACGUCCUGAACGAGAUCCUCAAGCUGAUAUUAUGUUCUCUAAUAAUUAUCACAACAAUUGUCAUAUCUAUAGUUUAUGAGGUUUAUACUCGAUCCGUAGGUGGCAGUGUAAGUAUAACCAGAAGGUGGCGACGCAUUGUUCGCGUAGCGUUGUACCAUUUUCGCCGCGAAUAAGUAGGCGGGAGUCAACAUGAAUCCUUCGUAACAUUCAAUUUGUCACUUACUGCCAUCAAAUGAUUGAUGUAUAUUCCCAGUGGCUUUUGAGCCAUCGUAGUGAACUGGACACCAACAAAUUGGUACCACAAACUCAGCUUUGAGUCACUUUAAUUCGAUAUUAUUAUCAUGUGAUUGAGUAGAAGAGUAGAUUCUGCAAUAAAAAAUGAAUUUCCAUCCUCGACACUCCACUACUGUGGAUCUUGAUACGGCGAAUUUUUUUGCCCAAGAUUGAAUUUUCAUUCACAGAUAAUGUUAAUUGUACUGAAGUUGCUGAUAUAAUUUUAUUGUAUUCCUUAUUCGUCGAAGCUCUGAGAGGAAUUAUUUGAAUAAAUUUAUUCAGAUGAGUGUAGAUGACAGAUGAAUAAAAAAUGAUCCGAACCUUCAUCAUCGUCUGGGUUGAGACUAUUCUCGUUAUAAAUUUCUGUCAGACAUUACCGUGAAAAAUUUAGGAGGUAAAAAAUUCCACGAAGCCUUCCAAUUUGUUCGAACAAGCCGAAAAGCCAUAAUUUGCUCUUGAAGUUUAUUCUUCUGUUAUUUAUGUAAUUCUAGUCAUUCAAUAAUACACGCGGUAAACGAGAAAUCAGAUCAAGGAGAAAAUCUGAUAAAGCAUCUCUUAGAAAUUAGUGAAAAACGACCUUCAGAAUAUUUUUAAUAUCUGCAGAUUCUGCAGGUAGUUCACAUAUGCUUCAAGAAUUUCGACCAAUUAGUGUACUUCGCCCCCGAUGAAUCGAUCGUCUUCGCAUACUUCAAUAAUAUUAAUAACUACGUGGUGUUGUUUAACAGCUAAAGAAGAACUCUGGCUUUGCCUACUAUUUUAUUUUAUCGCACGGCAUGGAUAUGAUUAGGAUCGCACCACAAUAUAUCCGGAUGCUUAAAAUCGGAGAAAAUAGAAAGAAAUAUUUUACACUUAUAAAUUGGAUAUAACGACCUAAAAAAUUAUAUCCGGUUGUAUCGAUAUCAUUUUUUCUGUUGUAAUAUCUUCAGGUUACCAAUACCGCCCGUGUGUUCUUCAAGCGACACUGCAGAGGACUGGGGCGUAGGAAUUACGUUGUUGUGUGUAAAGAGACCGUUUUACCUUGUAUAAUCUGAGUCCUCUUUUGCCUCUGCAGAGCUUCCGGGUACAGGUGAAGCUAGAGGUCUCGGUUGGCGUUCUCGUUCUCCAAGAUCACUGGGGUUUUGAAUAUUGAAAAGUUGUUGGCUGUGAUUGAUUUUUUCACAAAAACUGAGGAGUGAAUACUAACGGUACCUCGUUUGGAUGAGACCGGAACCGGAACCGACCGCCAGAAGCAGAUCUGACCGCGAACGUAAAAACAGGGUCUACAAAAAUUGAAAUCAGAAGAAAAUCAGGCUCAUAAUGU